Molecule: small nuclear RNA, 104 nt
Organism: Coffea eugenioides
Lineage: Eukaryota; Viridiplantae; Streptophyta; Magnoliopsida; Gentianales; Rubiaceae
Source: RefSeq, a predicted model, not a curated record
GUCCUUAAACAUCACAUUCUAUAAAAUUGGAAUGAUACAGAAAAGAUUAGCAUGACCCCUGUGCAACGAUCACACGCAUAGAUUGAGAAAUGGUCCAAAUUUUU